UGUGUAUAUCUAUGUGUGUGUGUGUGUGUGUGUGUGUAUAUAUAUAUAUACACACACACACACACAUGAUUUUCUUA
Molecule: non-coding RNA, 77 nt
Organism: Podarcis lilfordi (Lilford's wall lizard)
Lineage: Eukaryota; Metazoa; Chordata; Lepidosauria; Squamata; Lacertidae
Source: the annotation of a GenBank genome assembly